This 468-nucleotide ribosomal RNA is filed under the name uncultured bacterium. RNAcentral describes it as "partial 16S ribosomal RNA". It matches the Rfam family "Bacterial small subunit ribosomal RNA", at positions 28 to 507 of the family's 1533-position model. The record is from RNAcentral.
GACGAACGCUGGCGGCGUGCUUAACACAUGCAAGUCGAACGGAAAGGCCCUGCUUUUGUCUGCUGCUCGAGUGGCGAACGGGUGAGUAACACGUGAGUAACCUGCCCCUGACUUUGGGAUAACUUCUGGAAACUGGGGCUAAUACCGGAUACGAGCUCCUGCUGCAUGUUGGGGGUUGGAAAAUUUCGGCGGUUGGGGAUGGACUCGCGGCCUAUCAGCUUGUUGGUGGGGUAGUGGCUUACCAAGGCUUUGACGGGUAGCCGGCCUGAGAGGGUGACCGGCCACAUUGGGACUGAGAUACGGCCCAGACUCCUACGGGAGGCAGCAGUGGGGAAUAUUGCACAAUGGGCGGAAGCCUGAUGCAGCAACGCCGCGUGCGGGAUGACGGCCUUCGGGUUGUAAACCUCUUUCGCCUGUGACGAAGCGUGAGUGACGGUAAUGGGUAAAGAAGCACCGGCUAACUACGUG